GCUUCGAAGAUUGUUUCAGAAGCUUUGGGCGGCGGGCGUCUCUGAGAGAAAUUAGAGUAUUGUCAUAGGCAACAGUCCAGAACUCAAGAGAAUGAACUGAAAAUAAACGCUGUGUUUUCAGAGAGUGCUUCACAGUUGACUGCAGGCAUUCAGCUUUCUCUGGCAUCAUCUGGCAUGAAUAAAAUGCUUCCUUCAGUUUCAACCACAGCUAUUCAGGUUUCCUGUGCUGGUUGUAAAAAAAUUCUCCAGAAGGGGCAAACUGCUUAUCAGAGGAAAGGAUCUGCUCAACUUUUCUGCUCCAUACCAUGCAUCACUGAAUACAUUUCAUCUGCCAGUUCACCAGUUCCUUCUAAGAGAACUUGUUCAAACUGCUCAAAAAACCUGCCAAACCACUUAUAUCUGUUCCUUGCAAACCAUUGAAGCCCUCAGAUGAAAUGAUUGAGACUACCAGUGAUUUGGGGAAGACAGAGCUUUUCUGCUCUAUUAAUUGUUUCUCUGCAUACAGUAAAGCUAAGAUGGAAUCUUCUUCAGUAAAUGUUGUUUCUGUGGUGCAUGAUACUUCAACAGAGCUUCUUUCUCCAAAGAAAGAUACGACUCCAGUUAUAAGCAAUAUAGUGUCAUUGGCAGACACCGAUGUUGCCUUGCCCAUCAUGAACACUGAUGUCUU
RNAcentral lists this small RNA (667 nucleotides) under Pongo abelii (Sumatran orangutan). RNAcentral's name for it is "processed transcript". The record is from RNAcentral. Lineage: Eukaryota; Metazoa; Chordata; Mammalia; Primates; Hominidae.